Molecule: non-coding RNA, 45 nt
Organism: Capsicum annuum
Lineage: Eukaryota; Viridiplantae; Streptophyta; Magnoliopsida; Solanales; Solanaceae
Source: Rfam
AAAAAGGUUGUUUUAACAACUAUCAAAAUUGUUGGACAAAUUUGU